Long non-coding RNA from Lethenteron reissneri (Far Eastern brook lamprey), 181 nucleotides. RefSeq lists it as uncharacterized. NCBI's taxonomy places the organism in Eukaryota, Metazoa, Chordata, Hyperoartia, Petromyzontiformes, Petromyzontidae. The record is from RefSeq and is a predicted model, not a curated record.
GUGUGUCUGGGUAUAUUGUGUAGGUGUGUGAGAGUACACGUGUGUGUAGGUGUGUGUCUGGGUAUAUUGUGUAGGUGUCUGGGUAUAUUGUGUAGGUGUCUGUGCGUGUCUAUGAAAGAAGUGUUUGUAUGAUUGUGUCGUUAUGCGUGUAGUUAUGACUGUACCGUAAUAGCAUUUGUAU